AAGCGAAUCAGAAAGGGAAGGAUAAUGUGCUUUAGCGCGGACCGAAGGGUGAGGAACGAAGUGACGAAUAAUCCUUCCCCCACCACCA
This 88-nucleotide small RNA is filed under the name Serratia marcescens. RNAcentral describes it as "RtT sRNA". It matches the Rfam family "RtT RNA". From Rfam's summary of the family: This family represents a bacterial cis-regulatory element known as RtT RNA. The exact function of RtT is unknown although it is thought that it may be involved in changing the cellular response in relation to amino acid starvation. Lineage: Bacteria; Pseudomonadati; Pseudomonadota; Gammaproteobacteria; Enterobacterales; Yersiniaceae. The record is from RNAcentral.